Molecule: ribosomal RNA, 780 nt
Filed under: uncultured Neocallimastigales
Lineage: Eukaryota; Fungi; Neocallimastigomycota; Neocallimastigomycetes; Neocallimastigales
Description: partial large subunit ribosomal RNA
Rfam family: Eukaryotic large subunit ribosomal RNA
Source: RNAcentral
UAUCUCUGUAGAGUCUGCAUAUCAAUAAGCGGAGGAAAAGAAACUAACUAAGGAUUCCCCUCAGUAACGGCGAGUGAAGCGGGAAGAGCUCAAAUUUGAAAUCUUCAAGGUUCUGACCUUGACGAAUUGUAGUCUAAAGAAGUGUUUUCGGUUAGAGGAGUUUGGUAAAAGUUCUUUGGAAUAGGACAUCAUAGAGGGUGAGAAUCCCGUAUUUGACCAUUAUUUCUAGCUUUGUGAUACACUUUCAAAGAGUCGGAUUGUUUGGGAAUGCAGUCCAAAAUGGGUGGUAAAUUUCAUCUAAAGCUAAAUAUUGGCGAGAGACCGAUAGCGAACAAGUACCGUGAGGGAAAGAUGAAAAGAACUUUGAAAAGAGAGUUAAACAGUACGUGAAAUUGUCAAAAGGGAAGCGUUUGACACCAGUGUUGUUUUUUCCGAAAAUCAAUUAAAAAUGGAUUCAUGCUAAGUUGUAUUGACCUUAUCAGCUUGCAAUUUAGUUUUGGGUUUCUUUUUGAUGCACUUUUCGGUUAACAAGUCAACAUCAAUUUCCUUUGCUGUAAAAAGGCAGGAGGAAGGUGGCUUCAAUUUCGGUUGAAGUGUUUAUAGCCUUCUGUCUCUGCAGUCGGGGAGAUUGAGGUCUGCAGCGUAGAUCCUUCGGGGCUAGAUACAUUCGUGCUGAGUUAUAGCCUUUUAUAGACAACUUGUUGACUAUGAUUGGUCUUGUAAUUUACUCGCGAGUGCUAUUUUACCUACGCUUAGGAUGUUGAUCUACAGAGCGAGAGU